CGCUAGCUACAGGCUUAACACAUGCAAGUCGAGCGUCAGCAUCAUCAAAGCUUGCUUUGAUGGAUGGCGACCGGCGCACGGGUGAGUAACACGUAUCCAACCUGCCGACAACACUGGGAUAGCCUUUCGAAAGAAAGAUUAAUACCGGAUGGCAUAAUUAUUCCGCAUGGGAUAAUUAUUAAAGAAUUUCGGUUGUCGAUGGGGAUGCGUUCCAUUAGGCAGUUGGCGGGGUAACGGCCCACCAAACCUACGAUGGAUAGGGGUUCUGAGAGGAAGGUCCCCCACAUUGGAACUGAGACACGGUCCAAACUCCUACGGGAGGCAGCAGUGAGGAAUAUUGGUCAAUGGACGAGAGUCUGAACCAGCCAAGUAGCGUGAAGGAUGACUGCCCUAUGGGUUGUAAACUUCUUUUAUACGGGAAUAAAGUGAGCCACGUGUGGCUUUUUGUAUGUACCGUAUGAAUAAGGAUCGGCUAACUCCGUGCCAGCAGCCGCGGUAAUACGGAGGAUUCGAGCGUUAUCCGGAUUUAUUGGGUUUAAAGGGAGCGUAGGCGGGUUGUUAAGUCAGUUGUGAAAGUUUGCGGCUCAACCGUAAAAUUGCAGUUGAUACUGGCGACCUUGAGUGCAACAGAGGCAGGCGGAAUUCGUGGUGUAGCGGUGAAAUGCUUAGAUAUCACGAAGAACUCCGAUUGCGAAGGCAGCUUACUGGAUUGUAACUGACGCUGAUGCUCGAAAGUGUGGGUAUCAAACAGGAUUAGAUACCCUGGUAGUCCACACAGUAAACGAUGAAUACUCGCUGUUGGCGAUAUACAGUCAGCGGCCAAGCGAAAGCAUUAAGUAUUCCACCUGGGGAGUACGCCGGCAACGGUGAAACUCAAAGGAAUUGACGGGGGCCCGCACAAGCGGAGGAACAUGUGGUUUAAUUCGAUGAUACGCGAGGAACCUUACCCGGGCUUAAAUUGCAACUGACGGAACCGGAAACGGUUCUUUCUUCGGACAGUUGUGAAGGUGCUGCAUGGUUGUCGUCAGCUCGUGCCGUGAGGUGUCGGCUUAAGUGCCAUAACGAGCGCAACCCUUACGGGUAGUUACCAUCAGGUUAUGCUGGGGACUCUACCCGGACUGCCGUCGUAAGAUGUGAGGAAGGUGGGGAUGACGUCAAAUCAGCACGGCCCUUACGUCCGGGGCUACACACGUGUUACAAUGGGGGGUACAGAAGGCAGCUACACGGCGACGUGGUGCUAAUCCCAAAAGCCUCUCUCAGUUCGGAUUGGAGUCUGCAACCCGACUCCAUGAAGCUGGAUUCGCUAGUAAUCGCGCAUCAGCCACGGCGCGGUGAAUACGUUCCCGGGCCUUGUACACACAGCCCG
This 1366-nucleotide ribosomal RNA is filed under the name uncultured bacterium. RNAcentral's name for it is "16S ribosomal RNA". It matches the Rfam family "Bacterial small subunit ribosomal RNA", at positions 34 to 1396 of the family's 1533-position model. The record is from RNAcentral.